GAAAGAAAGAGGGAGGAAGACGAAGAACAACAAGAAGCUGCGCCUGCAGAACUCCAUUUAAGAUUUGGUCCUCUCUUCCUCUCCACUCUCUCAACCAAAUUUAAAAAAAAAGAAACGAAGUUAAAUAUUUUUGGGUUUCCCUCUUUGACAUCUUAGUUUUGCAAUAAUUGACCAAUCACCCUCUAAUUUUGGUUUUCUUUUCUUUUAUAUCACCACUUUCCUCCCAUGAUUUCAUCAUUUAGCAUUUGAGCUCCUUUUGUUUUCCCUUGUUAGAUCUAAAAGAUUUUCAACCACCCACUCGCCUGGCCGACCGACCAGAUCCGCCGUCGGUUAAUUCAAAUCUAUGGAUGAUUUUCCUGGUCUAUUGGCCCAGGACUUCGGUUUCAAACCCCAGGGUAAAUCCGCCNNNNNNNNNCAACACUAACACCUUCUCCUCUGUCAAUUUCGGCCUCGGAUCCGCUGCUCCUGCUUCUCACUAUCGAUCUUCCUCUGCCACCCUCGAUUCUGCUCCUAUUUUCGAUGAUCACGGUCACGAUCGUGGCGGCGGCGGGAGUGAUGGUCUCUUGUUCAACGACGUCUUUGGGGGCCCGCCUAAGUAUGCGGAAUCGCGUGGCGGCGGUGAUGGAGGAAUUAAAUCGUCGUCUUCUGCAUUUGAUUAUGACUCCAUUUUCAAGGACCAGAAUGCGAAAUCCGGGUCUUUGCCGGUUUUUGAUAAGCCAGUUUAUGAUGAUGAUAUUUUCGAUGGAUUGCCUGGCCUGAAGAGUUCGUCUGUGGGUCCUCAAUCGGCUAAUUUUGAUGAUGUGUUUUCUUCGAUCGGCACUGCUUCUUCGACCAAGCGUAGGGCGCAAAACAACAGCUCGCCAUUUGAUGAUCUGUUGGGGAAUUUAGGUAAAAAGGAGAACGAAUCGAGCAGAGAGACUCCCAAAAUGGAGAAGGAUUCAGCUGCUUUUGAUGAUUUGCUUCCUGGUUUUGGUCGCAGUAGCUCCCCUAGUAUUAGCAGGUUAACUUCAGAGUCUAGUCGGUCCCAGAAACCAUCUGCAAAUUCGGCCAGGAAAGCCUCCAUUAUGAUGGAUGACCCUUUUGUGGUGUUAGAGUCAACUUCAACUCCUGCAGCUUCAUCCUCGAGGUUGUAUGUAGACCCUUUGGAAGAAAUUAGUAAAUUCAGUAGCUCUGGAAACACAAAGGUUGAUAAUUCAUCUGUAAAUAGGGGAGUAUUUGAUGAUGUAGACUCCUUUGAUAGCCUUGGAAAACCUGUACCUCCAGUUUCACCUGUAGUCAACAUGAGAGGAAAAGAUAGGAGCCCUCUUAGAACUGGACCAAGCAUGGGUGGCACUUAUUCACCUGCUAGCGAAGAUCCAGUUGACGAAUAUCCUGUGGACGAAGCUGAAGGCCACUCACAGAAGAAGAUGUCUAAUGAUGAUUUCCAUGAAUCACAUGAAACCUUG
This 1445-nucleotide unclassified non-coding RNA is filed under the name Hevea brasiliensis (rubber tree). Lineage: Eukaryota; Viridiplantae; Streptophyta; Magnoliopsida; Malpighiales; Euphorbiaceae. The record is from RNAcentral.